AGGCAGUUCUCAUUCCAUAGGUAGGAGAACUUCAGGAAUUUAAUUAAAACUAUCAUUAGAUGUUCUAGAUCUGAUUUUAGAACAGAAGAAAAUGCACAUAUCCUCCUGAAAAGAAAUAAAGGAAAAGAUGGCGAUGUUAAUGGUUAUGUAAUAUUGGUUGGAGUGGAACUACCAAGUUUCAUCAGAUCAGAAUAUCAUUUAAAGUAAAUCACAUUAUUUGGGGACCUUUGAAUGUAUCAUUUUGGCAGUUUUCAAUGUAACAAUCAUAUUUUUUUAAAGAAAAAAAAAAUUGUUUGAUUUGGCCACAUAAAUUUCCAAAACCGACCAAUGUUUUGGAUAAGUUUCAGAGAAGAUCCAGACUUUUCAUUUUCGUUUUCAUGUUCCUAAUGGAACUUCACACCAUGAUAUAGACAAAUCACAACCAAGGACAGAUGCAAGGAGAAAAAAAAAAGAAUGAAGUAGACACAGAAAAUGAAAGAAGGGGAAUGAACAUGGGACUUGUUUUUCAUUUUUUUCUCUUUGAAAAAAAUCAUCUAACACCAAUAUAGAAGCUCAUUGACUAUGCAAAGUCAAUUUUACUGUUUCUGGUGGUAUUUCACUCAAGAGAAUGGUAAUGAUAGUUCAAUUAUUUUAUUAUUUUAUGUGAUGCUAGUAUAAAUUAAAAAAUUAGUACAUGAAACAAGAUAUGUAAGAUUUCAAAUAAACAAUGAAAGAGAAGAAAGCCCCUAUCGUCUGUUGAUUGUUCUAUAAUUAACUCUUGUUAACUGCUAGACGGAUAAUUUAAAUUUGCAGAACUUUACUGACCUGGUAUAACUGCAAAAAUAACAGGCUAAGCUUCAUGAUUGCAAGAUGACAUGGCUAUUUUGCAUGAAUAACAUGACCGAGGCACAAAGACCUUGGAGGAGCAAACUAACAAUAUGUUCAAUUGUCUUGGAGAUGAAACAAGGAGAUUAUAUGAGCAACCGAACAACUGGAAAUACUGCAGUAGAACUGGCUAGUUACAAACAUCAAAGUGCUAAUAUCAUUGAAGAAUGACUGCUUCAGUCACAUUUUAUGUGAAACAGAAAAACAAAUUUAUGUAAGUUUUAUGUUUUUACCGUUAAUCUGUGUAAUUUGGAUUUACUGAGAACCAGAUGUAGAGUGGUAAGAAGAUGUUAUGGUUGGUCUAGCAUUACUUAGAAGCAAUAGCUUUAAAUUUAAGUUGAAUAAGAAAAAUCAAGUUUUAAUCUUAGUAAGAGUCUAGGUUAUAUUUAAGCAAUAAUAUUGCUCGUUGGUUGGUCAUAGGUUAAUUUAUAAAUCCUUAGUAUAAAAGUUAGAAGUAUUGAAUCAAUGAAAUAUGAUCGAAAGAUAUUUAGACGUGCCACUAUGCUACCCGAUCGACUCAGUCAGGAGGGCAAUAUCUAUCCUUCCAACAUAGUCAGACAAAAAGGGGCAUGAAGAGCAAAUAGGCAGCUGUUUAGCACACCAAAAAAGGAAAAAAAAAGGCACAUGC
RNAcentral lists this long non-coding RNA (1492 nucleotides) under Phoenix dactylifera (date palm). RNAcentral describes it as "long non-coding RNA (PDAC_LNC003477)". The record is from RNAcentral. Lineage: Eukaryota; Viridiplantae; Streptophyta; Magnoliopsida; Arecales; Arecaceae.